CGCCUGUUUAUCAAAAACAUUUUUUCUUAGAGAAAAAGAAAUAAGGUCUGCCCAGUGGUGAACUCAACGGCUGCGGUAUUUUGACCGUGCUAAGGUAGCAUAAUCAUUUGUUUUUUAAUUGAAAACUGGAAUGAAGGGCUAGUCUGAUUUUAUGUUUGUAAAUUGUCUAGGAAAUAAAAGUCAAGGUAAGAAUUCUUUGAUUUUUUAAGGGACGAUAAGACCCUAGAAGCUUAAUUAGAAGGUUGUUUUUAGUGAAAAACAAGUUUAGUAAUUUUACUGGGGCGGUAAAAGUAAUUUAGCUGUUAAUAAAAGAAGGAUCCUUUAUAUAAAGAAAAUAAGGAAAAGUUACUCUAGGGAUAACAGUACAAUAUUUUUGGAGAGACCUUAUCAAUAGAAAUGUUUGUAACCUCGAUGUUGAAUUAAAAUAUCUAAGUGAGGCAGAACUCACUAGAGGAGGGUUUGUUCAACCUUUAAAUUUUUACAUGAUCUGAGUUCAAACCGGAG
This 504-nucleotide ribosomal RNA is filed under the name Gammarus annulatus. RNAcentral's name for it is "partial 16S ribosomal RNA". It matches the Rfam family "Bacterial large subunit ribosomal RNA", at positions 1797 to 2621 of the family's 2925-position model. The record is from RNAcentral. Lineage: Eukaryota; Metazoa; Arthropoda; Malacostraca; Amphipoda; Gammaridae.